CGUUCUGCGUUCUAUUUUUUCUGAUCGUCCAGUGUGCUAAGUUAGAUGAAUCUGAGAGCCAGGAUAUAAGGACAGCAUUGGAAGAUGUCAUGUUAAACGCAGAAAGCGAAGAUCAGCGUUAUGAUGAACCAAUGUUAAGGAGAGAACCCCAGAAUACAAUUCAAAGAGCCCCCAAACAGCAGAAAAUAAUAAGCAUAUUAUCCAAAUGCAGACGAAGUAAGGUUACGAUGAGUACCUAUAUAGCUACAGACCUUGUGCCAGCUGUCCCAACAUUUCUGUAUUGUAUCAAAAAUGUCUACAUAACAGGCACACCACCUCCAUCUAUAACAAAGGAUGGUGAUACUGCCCUAACGUUUGCCGAAAAGUUCACUGCAGCAAUAAAAGGUUCCGUAAAGACUCUUUUAAAAUUGCUAGAUACAUGUUUUGGAAUAGAAGGGGUCAAAAACUGUGCAUCUAAAAUGUAUAAAGCUUUUCAAAAACUAGAAGGACUAAGCGCUGCUGUCGAUAAACAUUGUGAUUAGCUUUUUUUAAAGUACUAAUAAAAAUAUAUUUGUUUGAUUUUAGAAUA
Scaptodrosophila lebanonensis is the source of this 568-nucleotide long non-coding RNA. RefSeq lists it as uncharacterized. The record is from RefSeq and is a predicted model, not a curated record. NCBI's taxonomy places the organism in Eukaryota, Metazoa, Arthropoda, Insecta, Diptera, Drosophilidae. The transcript has 2 exons.